Molecule: ribosomal RNA, 448 nt
Filed under: uncultured bacterium
Lineage: Bacteria
Description: partial 16S ribosomal RNA
Rfam family: Bacterial small subunit ribosomal RNA
Source: RNAcentral
CUCCCAGACUCCUACGGGAGGCAGCAGUGGGGAAUAUUGCACAAUGGGGGAAACCCUGAUGCAGCAACGCCGCGUGGGUGAAGGAGCGUUUCGGCGCGUAAAGCCCUGUCAGCGGGGAAGAAGAAAGACGGUACCCGACCAAGAAGCCCCGGCUAACUACGUGCCAGCAGCCGCGGUAAUACGUAGGGGGCGAGCGUUAUCCGGAUUUACUGGGUGUAAAGGGAGCGCAGGCGGCACGGCAAGCCUGAUGUGAAAGCCCGCGGCCCAACCGCGGGACUGCAUUGGGAACUACCGGGCUGGAGUGCCGGAGAGGUAGGCGGAAUUCCUAGUGUAGCGGUGAAAUGCGUAGAUAUUAGGAGGAACACCAGUGGCGAGGGCGGCCUGCUGGGCCUUUACUGACGCUGAGGCUCGAAAGUGUGGGGAGCAAACAGGAUUAGAUACCCCGGUA